This 253-nucleotide ribosomal RNA is filed under the name uncultured bacterium. Its description in RNAcentral is "partial 16S ribosomal RNA". It matches the Rfam family "Bacterial small subunit ribosomal RNA", at positions 524 to 776 of the family's 1533-position model. The record is from RNAcentral.
UACGAAGGGGGCUAGCGUUGCUCGGAAUGACUGGGCGUAAAGGGCGCGUAGGCGGUUUGUACAGUCAGAUGUGAAAUUCCUGGGCUCAACCUGGGGGCUGCAUUUGAUACGUGCGGACUUGAGUGAGGAAGAGGGUCGUGGAAUUCCCAGUGUAGAGGUGAAACUCGUAGAUAUUGGGAAGAACACCGGUGGCGAAGGCGGCGACCUGGUCCUUGACUGACGCUGAGGCGCGAAAGCGUGGGGAGCAAACAGG